This 390-nucleotide long non-coding RNA is filed under the name Mytilus galloprovincialis (Mediterranean mussel). Lineage: Eukaryota; Metazoa; Mollusca; Bivalvia; Mytilida; Mytilidae. The record is from RNAcentral.
UGUGGACAUAACGUAAUAGGUGUUUGCACCUAACGUAAAGAUGUUUGGACAUAAUGUAGGCAUUUGCACAAAGUGUUAUUGGUGUUUGCACACAAUGUAAGGUAUUUGCACAUAACGUAAUAGUGUUUGCACAUAAUGAUGUAGUUGUUAUACAUAACUUAAUAGGUAUUUGCAUAUAACGCAAUAGGUGUUUGCAAAUAAGGUAAACUAUGUUUGGACAUAGGGUAAACGGAAGAAGGACAAGUCGCCCCACUGGCAAGUCGCCCCACACCUAGUCGCCCCACUUUUUCACCCACUCGCCCCACUUUAAAAAAAAACACGCCCCAACCUGGAUCACCAACUCGCCCCACUUUUUAAAAAAUCGCCCCACAUGUGAAAUUGGUUAAAGCA